AUGAUAAAAUAUCACACCAACCGACAGUGGAUUUUAGAUUUUAAGUUGUCUUUUUUUGUGAUGCUGCUGCUGGUUCAUCUUUUGUUCCCAUUGGCAACUUCAGGAAAAAUCUGCUUAUGCUUUACUUUAUGGCCCCUUAUUCAUCCUCUUUCUCCAUCAUUGUCUCCCCUUUUCCUAUACCUAGUCUCUUUCUUCAAGUGGAAUUAUUUAUUAAGAGCCCAUACAAAUGAAAUUGCGUAUCUGUUAAGUUGUCUAUUUGUUGUUUGCUUUUAUUUGAUGGGGGUCGCAGCUGCUGAUCUCCAGUUGUCCACAGGCUACACUUUGGUUGAUGGUAACCUAUGCACUUUUAAACUGUAA
Molecule: ribosomal RNA, 357 nt
Filed under: Triticum aestivum (bread wheat)
Lineage: Eukaryota; Viridiplantae; Streptophyta; Magnoliopsida; Poales; Poaceae
Description: partial small subunit ribosomal RNA
Source: RNAcentral